AAGGCUCAGUACAACAGCUAUUAUUUAUUUGAUCAUAAACAUAGUUACUUGGAUAACUGUGGUAAUUCCAGAGCUAAUACAUGCAAACAACAUGGAUCCCUGUAGAAAUAUGGGUGAAACAUGUGCUUUUAUUAGAUUAAAACCAUAUCCAUUUCACGAUGGAUUUGUUUUAGAUGAAUCUGGAUAAUUAUGGCUGAUCGUAUGGUCUUGCACCGACGAUAGAUCAUUCAAAUGUCUGCCCUAUCAACUAUUGAUGGUAGUAUAGAGGACUACCAUGGUUGCAACGGGUAACGGGGAAUCAGGGUUCGA
Molecule: ribosomal RNA, 309 nt
Filed under: Sergentomyia christophersi
Lineage: Eukaryota; Metazoa; Arthropoda; Insecta; Diptera; Psychodidae
Description: SSU rRNA
Rfam family: Eukaryotic small subunit ribosomal RNA
Source: RNAcentral